CCCGACUCAGAGGCAUUGCAGGUGUGGCUGCUGUGUCAUACGUGCACCAGCAGGUGGCAGAGAGGAGAGAGGCUAUGUCUAUACUCAGUGUUCUGACCUAUGAACAUCUGAGUGACUCGUAGCCUAACAUA
This is a small nucleolar RNA of Acomys russatus (golden spiny mouse), 131 nucleotides long. RefSeq annotates it as small nucleolar RNA SNORA17. The record is from RefSeq and is a predicted model, not a curated record. The transcript has a single exon. NCBI's taxonomy places the organism in Eukaryota, Metazoa, Chordata, Mammalia, Rodentia, Muridae.